UACGUAGGGUGCAAGCGUUAAUCGGAAUUACUGGGCGUAAAGCGUGCGCAGGCGGUUCGCCAAGUCAGGUGUGAAAUCCCCGGGCUUAACCUGGGAAUUGCGCUUGAAACUAGCGGGCUCGAGUGUGGCAGAGGGGGGUGGAAUUCCACGUGUAGCAGUGAAAUGCGUAGAGAUGUGGAGGAACACCGAUGGCGAAGGCAGCCCCCUGGGUCAACACUGACGCUCAUGCACGAAAGCGUGGGGAGCAAACAGG
Molecule: ribosomal RNA, 253 nt
Filed under: uncultured bacterium
Lineage: Bacteria
Description: partial 16S ribosomal RNA
Rfam family: Bacterial small subunit ribosomal RNA
Source: RNAcentral